AGCGAACGCUGGCGGCAGGCUUAACACAUGCAAGUCGAACGCCCGGGCAACCGGGAGUGGCAGACGGGAGAGUAACACGUGGGAACGUACCCUUCGGUUCGGAAUAACCCAGGGAAACUUGGGCUAAUACCGGAUACGUCCGUAAGGAGAAAGAUUCAUCGCCGAGGGAUCGGCCCGCGUCCGAUUAGCUAGUUGGUGAGGUAAUGGCUCACCAAGGCGACGAUCGGUAGCUGGUCUGAGAGGANGAUCAGCCUCACUGGGACUGAGACACGGCCCAGACUCCUACGGGAGGCAGCAGUGGGGAAUAUUGGACAAUGGGCGAAAGCCUGAUCCAGCCAUGCCGCGUGGGUGAUGAAGGCCUUAGGGUUGUAAAGCCCUUUCGGCGGGGAAGAUAAUGACGGUACCCGCAGAAGAAGCCCCGGCUAACUUCG
RNAcentral lists this ribosomal RNA (431 nucleotides) under uncultured bacterium. RNAcentral's name for it is "bacterial SSU rRNA". It matches the Rfam family "Bacterial small subunit ribosomal RNA", at positions 29 to 505 of the family's 1533-position model. The record is from RNAcentral.